RNAcentral lists this ribosomal RNA (1182 nucleotides) under Grifola frondosa (maitake). RNAcentral's name for it is "bacterial SSU rRNA". It matches the Rfam family "Eukaryotic small subunit ribosomal RNA", at positions 4 to 1116 of the family's 1831-position model. The record is from RNAcentral. Lineage: Eukaryota; Fungi; Basidiomycota; Agaricomycetes; Polyporales; Grifolaceae.
CCUGGUUGAUCCUGCCAGUAGUUAUAUGCUUGUCUCAAAGAUUAAACCAUGCAUGUCUAAGUAUAAACAAAUUUGUACUAUGAAACUGCGAAUGGCUCAUUAAAUCAGUUAUAGUUUAUUUGAUGGUACCUUGCUACAUGGAUAACUGUGGUAAUUCUAGAGCUAAUACAUGCAAUUAAGCCCCGACUUCCGGGAGGGGUGUAUUUAUUAAAUAAAAAACCAAUGCAGUUUGCCACUUCAUUGGUGAUUCAUAAUAACUUUUUGAAUCACACAGCCUUGUGCCAGCGAUGCUUCAUUCAAAUAUCUGCCCUAUCAACUUUCGAUGGUAGGAUAGAGGCCUACCAUGGUUUCAACAGGUAAUGGGGAAUAAGGGUUCAAUUCCGGAGAGGGAGCCUGAGAAAUGGCUACCACAUCCAAGGAAGGCAGCAGGCAUGCAAAUUACCCAAUCCUGACAUGGGGAGGUAGUGACAAUAAAUAACAAUAUAGGGCUCUUUCAGGUCUUAUAAUCGGAAUGAGUACAAUUCAAAUCUCUUAAUGAGAAACAAUUGGAGGGCAAGUCUGGUGCCAGCAGCUGUGGUAAUUUCAGCUCCAAUAGCAUAUAUUAAAGUUGUUGCAGUUAAAAAGCUCAUAGUUGAACUUCAGACCUGGCCAGGUGGUCUGUCUAAUGGCAAGUACUGUCUGGCUGGGUCUUACCUCUUGGUGAGCUGGCAUGCCCUUCACUGGGUGUGUCAGGGAACCAGGACUUUUACCUUGAGAAAAUUAGAGUGUUUAAAGCAGGCCUAUGCCUGAAUAUAUUAGCAUGAAAUAAUAAAAUAGGAUGUGUGGUUCUAUUUUGUUGGCUUCUAGAGUUGCUGUAAUGAUUAAUAGGGAUAGUUGGGGGCAUUAGUAUUUGGUCAUCAGACGUGAAAUUCUUGAAUUGACUGAAGACUAACUACUGCGAAAGCAUUUGCCAAAGAUGUUUUCAUUAAUCAAGAAUGAAGGUUAGGGGAUCAAAAAUGAUCAGAUACCCCAUAAUGGGAUCACUCAGCCCAGCUUAGGACCUUGUGGGUUUUUACCCUCAGUGCAUGGGCUUCAAACUAAGAAAGGCCUUGAAAUGAGUACCACAGUGGCUGAGCUGUGGGUGUGUGUAUUGUCUAUAAGUCCUAACAAUCACAUGAUAACCACAUGAAACCUUUGAGUUUU